GGCUCAGAUUGAACGCUGGCGGCAUGCUUUACACAUGCAAGUCGAACGGCAGCGCGGGGCAACCUGGCGGCGAGUGGCGAACGGGUGAGUAAUACAUCGGAACGUACCCAGAAGUGGGGGAUAACGUAGCGAAAGUUACGCUAAUACCGCAUACGUUCUACGGAAGAAAGUGGGGGACCUUCGGGCCUCAUGCUUUUGGAGCGGCCGAUGUCUGAUUAGCUAGUUGGUGAGGUAAAGGCUCACCAAGGCGACGAUCAGUAGCUGGUCUGAGAGGACGACCAGCCACACUGGGACUGAGACACGGCCCAGACUCCUACGGGAGGCAGCAGUGGGGAAUUUUGGACAAUGGGCGCAAGCCUGAUCCAGCAAUGCCGCGUGAGUGAAGAAGGCCUUCGGGUUGUAAAGCUCUUUUGUCAGGGAAGAAACGGCCUGGGUUAAUACCUUGGGCUAAUGACGGUACCUGAAGAAUAAGCACCGGCUAACUACGUGCCAGCAGCCGCGGUAAUACGUAGGGUGCAAGCGUUAAUCGGAAUUACUGGGCGUAAAGCGUGCGCAGGCGGUUUUGUAAGUCUGACGUGAAAUCCCCGGGCUCAACCUGGGAAUUGCGUUGGAGACUGCAAGGCUGGAGUCUGGCAGAGGGGGGUAGAAUUCCACGUGUAGCAGUGAAAUGCGUAGAGAUGUGGAGGAACACCGAUGGCGAAGGCAGCCCCCUGGGUCAAGACUGACGCUCAUGCACGAA
RNAcentral lists this ribosomal RNA (739 nucleotides) under Massilia aerilata. RNAcentral describes it as "bacterial SSU rRNA". It matches the Rfam family "Bacterial small subunit ribosomal RNA", at positions 21 to 757 of the family's 1533-position model. The record is from RNAcentral. Lineage: Bacteria; Pseudomonadati; Pseudomonadota; Betaproteobacteria; Burkholderiales; Oxalobacteraceae.